AUGGCCUAACGGCUGACGCAGCGACGCCGCGUGUGGGAUGAAGCUCUUCGGAGUGUAAACCACUUGUUGCCCGGGACGAACAGCUCGAUUUUUCGAGCCUGACGGUACCGGGUGAGGAAGCACCGGCUAACUCCGUGCCAGCAGCCGCGGUAAUACGGGGGGUGCGAGCGUUGUCCGGAAUCACUGGGCGUAAAGGGCGCGUAGGUGGUUUGAUAAGGGUGUGGUGAAAGUCCGGGGCUCAACCCCGGAUCUGCCGUGCCGACUGUCAAACUCGAGGGCUGUAGAGGCAGACGGAAUUCCGGGUGUAGCGGUGGAAUGCGUAGAGAUCCGGAGGAAGACCGGUGGCGAAGGCGGUCUGCUGGGCAGUUUCUGACACUGAUGCGCGACAGCGUGGGGAGCAAACAGGAUUAGAUACCCUGGUAGUCCACGCCGUAAACGAUGGGUACUAGGUGCCUGGGGGAGCGACCCUCUGGGUGCCGGCGCUAACGCAGGAAGUACCCCGCCUGGGGAGUACGACCGCAAGGUUGAAACUCAAAGGAAUUGACG
This 546-nucleotide ribosomal RNA is filed under the name uncultured Gemmatimonadota bacterium. Its description in RNAcentral is "SSU rRNA". It matches the Rfam family "Bacterial small subunit ribosomal RNA", at positions 371 to 915 of the family's 1533-position model. The record is from RNAcentral. Lineage: Bacteria; Pseudomonadati; Gemmatimonadota.